RNAcentral lists this long non-coding RNA (1897 nucleotides) under Sus scrofa (pig). Its description in RNAcentral is "lncRNA (ENSSSCG00005036003.1)". Lineage: Eukaryota; Metazoa; Chordata; Mammalia; Artiodactyla; Suidae. The record is from RNAcentral.
CCCGCCGGCGCCCCUCCGCCUGCCCUUCCGGGAGCCUGGGCUUGCACGGGCGGAAGCAGAGGGGGGGAGAGCUGACCGUGCGGCUUCCCUUUCUGCUGGGAGGAUGGCAGCGAGCGCAGGCCUUGCUCCGAGCUGCAGCAGCGCCUGCGGCUGGUACAGCCAUUGUCUGCGAUGAUAGAUGUUUUGAGGCAUCUGGGAAAGAAGAGUAAGAAAAACAAGCUGCAGUGACGUUAUGUUGCAUUUAAGAUGUGCCGAAAGAGACUUCGAAUUGACCUAGGGGACAGUUAAAAACCACCUAAGAAGGGGCUGAGUGCCCUGAGGGGCUUUAGAAAGGCUGCCCUGCUGGGCGCGCUGCCAGAGGCCGGUCUAGGGUGGACGGGAGCCCCCAGCGCAGCACAUCCGUCGGGGCGAAGGUCGUUCAGCAGAGACUCCGUUCGUCCGUCAGAUUCUCCGGCGAGACCUCACCACCCUGGCUCCUUCUGGCUCCCGUGAGGCCCCAGGAGACGUCGGACGGACUCAGGCCUUCACCCCCGUCCCGGCUCGCUGGGGCCCAGCCCGUCCCUGCUCCGCAAACAGCUCCUCACUCGCGGUCUGUCGGUGUGAACACAGGAUUGCUCUUCAGUGCGAGACAACAGGGGCCUCGGCGUGGGGCCCCGCCCAAGACCAGAGCUGCGGCCUUGCGUCUGUCAUCGCGUGUCACUCGCGGUCUGUCGGUGUGAACACAGGAUUGCUCUUCAGUGCGAGACAACAGGGGCCUCGGCGUGGGGCCCCGCCCAAGACCAGAGCUGCGGCCUUGCGUCUGUCAUCGCGUGGGAGCGGCGGGUAUUCGAUGACAGCCCUUAAAGGCAUUUGAAAGGCCUUCAGGGAGCAUGGACGUGACGCUGUCGGCGCGGGGUGUCCACGGGAAACCUCAGAACUGGCUCCAGUAAGCGACCAGCUGGGGCCCCGGCUGCUGCUGCUGCUCUGCCUGUGCUGGAGAAACCGUGAAGGUUUUGAUUGAUGAGGAAGGUGGAAGAGGAACCGCCUACUCUAACGCCUUCAUUUUACAGAUGCGCGUGUUGGGGUGAAACGCUCGCCCCUCACCAGCAAGGUCACACGAAGAGCAGGUAAGGGCUGGUCCUGGGGCCGCCACUACCUCCACUGCUGACUUUCCGGGUGGUGAGUUCCAGAUGACAGCUCAGAUGUGGACGCUCUCUGUGGAUCAGGAAGAAACAACUAAUCUUGGCUUGACUCUCAUCAUUCAUUGAGCCUCCUGGCUGUUCCGUGCUCUUCUGAAAGUCUUUGCACAGAGCAAGGCAGACGCUCCCUCCGGUCUCCGCUAUCAAGACCUCGGAAGCUCAAGGGUCAAGAGGGGACUGCGGCGUGACCCGCAGUGAUGCAGCGCGAGGGGUGAGAUGGAGGGGGGUCCAGUGCCCCAGGGCUAGUGUGGCGCGAGCAGAGCACAGCCGUCCUCCUGAGAGGAAAGUUGGAGGUAACCUGCUCCUUCAUUUCAACUGAUAUUAAAAGUUAGAGUAACCAAAAUAGUACGGUAUUUUUGACAUAAAAAGACAACAGCCCGGAAAUAAACCCACACACAUCUAGUCAAUUGAUGGCAAAGGAGCCAAGAAUAUACAAUGGAGCCAGGACAGUCUCCAAGAAAUAAUCCUGGGAGAGCAGGACAGCCACUUGCCAAAGGACGAAGCUGUGAUCUUACACCAUACAUAAAAAUUAACUCAAAGUGGACAAAAGACUUAAACUUUAGACCUGAAACCAUAAAACUCCUAAAAGAAGAACACAGAUGGCUGUUUCCUUGACAUUGAUCCUGGCGAUGAUAUUUUGGAGUUGACACCACAGGCAAAGGCAACAAAAGUAAAUAUAAACAAAUGGGGCUCCAUCAAACUAAAACGCUUCUGCAAAG